Molecule: transfer RNA, 75 nt
Filed under: Microcella sp.
Lineage: Bacteria; Bacillati; Actinomycetota; Actinomycetes; Micrococcales; Microbacteriaceae
Description: tRNA-Arg
Rfam family: tRNA
About the family: Transfer RNA (tRNA) molecules are approximately 80 nucleotides in length. Their secondary structure includes four short double-helical elements and three loops (D, anti-codon, and T loops).
Source: RNAcentral
GCCUCUGUAGCUCAAUGGAAGAGCAGUUCCGUCCUAAGGAAAGGGUUGGGGGUUCGAGUUCCUCCAGGGGCACCA